Molecule: ribosomal RNA, 500 nt
Filed under: uncultured bacterium
Lineage: Bacteria
Description: partial 16S ribosomal RNA
Rfam family: Bacterial small subunit ribosomal RNA
Source: RNAcentral
AUUGAACGCUGGCGGCAUGCUUUACACAUGCAAGUCGAACGGUAACAGGGUGCUUGCACCGCUGACGAGUGGCGAACGGGUGAGUAAUACAUCGGAAUGUACCCAGGAAUGGGGGAUAACGCUUCGAAAGGAGUGCUGAUACCGCAUACGCCGUGAGGGGGAAAGUUGGGGACCGCAAGGCCUCACGUUAUUGGAGGAGCCGAUGGCUGAUUAGCUAGUUUGUGAGGUAAAGGCUCACCAAGGCGACGAUCAGUAGCGGGGCGUAGAGGGCGAUACGCCACACUGGAGCAAGGACACGUGCCAGACUCUCACGGUAGGCAGCCGUGGGGAAGCUUAGGCAAGAGUCGAUGGCCUGAGCCAGCGAGGCCGGGUGCGUGAAGGAGGCCGUCGAGUUGUAAAUCGCUGUUGUCUGGGAGCAAAUCCUGGCCUCUAAUACAGGUCGGGGGUGAGAGAACCAGAAGAAGAAGGACCGUCUAACUACGUGCCAGCCGCCGCGGUAA